RNAcentral lists this ribosomal RNA (435 nucleotides) under uncultured bacterium. Its description in RNAcentral is "bacterial SSU rRNA". It matches the Rfam family "Bacterial small subunit ribosomal RNA", at positions 339 to 791 of the family's 1533-position model. The record is from RNAcentral.
UUACGGGAGGCAGCAGUGGGGAAUAUUGGACAAUGGGGGCAACCCUGAUCCAGCAAUGCCGCGUGAGUGAUGAAGGCCUUAGGGUUGUAAAGCUCUUUCGGCGGGGACGAUGAUGACGGUACCCGCAGAAGAAGCCCCGGCUAACUUCGUGCCAGCAGCCGCGGUAAUACGAAGGGGGCGAGCGUUGUUCGGAUUUACUGGGCGUAAAGGGCGCGCAGGCGGUCUUGAAAGUCAGGCGUGAAAGCCCCGGGCUUAACCUGGGAAUUGCGCUUGAUACUCUGAGACUGGAGUACGGGAGAGGAGAGUGGAAUUCCCAGUGUAGAGGUGAAAUUCGUAGAUAUUGGGAAGAACACCAGUGGCGAAGGCGGCUCUCUGGACCGUAACUGACGCUGAGGCGCGAAAGCGUGGGGAGCAAACAGGAUUAGAUACCCCGGU